ACUUCUGUCCAAACAGAAUACAUAAAAAAUUUCCGGAAACAUCGUGGACAUCAACGAAGACUAAGGCCCAGCAUUUCAAGCUUGCCUCCACAGGAUUUUCUCUCUACAUCUUAUGAUGAUGAAAACCGAGAUCAUCGAGGUAAAGAGUGUGUGGUAUGUUUGGAUGCUGUAAGAGACUCAACCCUUCUCCCCUGCUUUCAUGUUUGCGUGUGUACCAAAUGUGCAAAUAUGCUGAAGAAGAAAGAAAGUUAUUGUCCAGUGUGCCGGGAAGAAAUAAAAAAGAUUGGUCCUCACUAUUACCCAUAAAUGUUUGUAUUGGUUUUCACAUAUUCACUAAUUGGUGACUAAAAGAAUAAUAAAUGACUUUGGAAGAUACCUUAAAAAGGCCUUACUUAAGAUUACAUAAAGACUAGUCAAUAUCAUAAUGUUCAUAUUGAAAGUUCUGUAAAACUUAUCUCCAAAGUGGUUGUAGCAGUAGCAACAGUUCAUCUUAACUUUUUGUCAGUUUUGUUUUUGAACUCAUUUUUUGUGUAUGUCUUCUUGACUAUAGUAUACAUAUCAUUUGAAAGGCUUUAACAGUGGUUUAAAUAUCAAAGACAUACAUUUAUAUAAUUUUACAGAUUUGUUGAAAAGAAAGUGAUUUAUUGAAUUUUGUAAUCAGUGAAAAAUCUGAAAAAUUUACUUAAUUAGAAAUUAUCUUAAAAGAGACAUGUUUAAACAGCUUUUGCAAUUGUCCUAUAAAAACAACAACAUUGGUCAUGAUUUUCUAAGCCCAAAAUUAAAAAUAUAUUGAUUUUGGGCUAUAAAUGUCACCACCACUUUUUCUAAUGUCAGAGUUUUAAAGCAAUAUUCUUCUUAGUAGUCAGAAAGUUGUACUGACAUUAGCAUUAUAUUUGUGACUAAUGGCCCAUGAAAAAUAGUAUAUGGUACACAAUGUAUUACAAUUUUUCUGCUGUGCUGAUGAAAAUAACUUCUUUUCAUGGGGGUAUAAGAGAGAGUUUUUACUAAAAUUUAAUAAUGUUGGACGAUUUGCCAGUGACAAUCUCCUCAAACAUAAAAAAAAAACAAUCUUUAGAUGGCUGGUACUAUUGAAACAUGAGUGAUUUGAUUUUGAUCAUAGACCAUACCUUUAUAAAAGAUGAGAAGAAAUUAUAAUUUGUUUUUUAGAGCAAAUAUUUUUUAACUAUAUUUUCCAAGGACAGAAAUAUUUCAUUCUAAUCUUACAACUCGAGAAUUCUUUCUCAACUUUGUAUAUGAUUUUCUUUUUUGUUAUUGAAAUGCACUUAAAGUACUUAAGAAAAGCAUUCCUUAUCUCAAAAUAUAUCGAAGCAAUGUUUUUGUAUUUGACUGUCAUCCUGAAUUUAUGUUCACAAAGUUUUAUAUUGUGUUUGAAACAUAUGUUUCAGGCUAUACAAUUUCUAGAUAACUUGAAAUUCACUCUUAUCAUGAUGUUAUGAUGAGUUAAAACUUGAGAGUAGGUUUCAGGGGAUAGGUCUUGUGAUGUAACUGUACCUUAUUACUCUGUAAGUAUAAAGUAUGUUACUGAGAUUUUUUUGUGUGUAUUUGAUUAAGUAAGAGAGAAUUAAUUUUUAUUUUGUCACGUGCUUAGUAUGUAGGUUGAACCAUAGCAAAUUUCACUCUCAAUAAAGGAAAAUGAUAUUACAA
RNAcentral lists this long non-coding RNA (1665 nucleotides) under Limulus polyphemus (Atlantic horseshoe crab). Its description in RNAcentral is "uncharacterized LOC111083442". Lineage: Eukaryota; Metazoa; Arthropoda; Merostomata; Xiphosura; Limulidae. The record is from RNAcentral.